AGAGUUUGAUCCUGGCUCAGAUUGAACGCUGGCGGCAGGCUUAACACAUGCAAGUCGAGCGGUAACAGAGAUAGCUUGCUAUCUGCUGACGAGCGGCGGACGGGCGAGUAAUGCUUGGGAAUAUGCCUUAUGGUGGGGGACAACAGUUGGAAACGACUGCUAAUACCGCAUAACGUCUACGGACCAAAGGGGGGGAUCUUCGGACCUCUCGCCAUUUGAUUAGCCCAAGUGAGAUUAGCUAGUUGGUGAGGUAAAGGCUCACCAAGGCGACGAUCUCUAGCUGGUUUGAGAGGAUGAUCAGCCACACUGGGACUGAGACACGGCCCAGACUCCUACGGGAGGCAGCAGUGGGGAAUAUUGCACAAUGGGCGAAAGCCUGAUGCAGCCAUGCCGCGUGUGUGAAGAAGGCCUUCGGGUUGUAAAGCACUUUCAGUAGGGAGGAAAAGUUCAAGGUUAAUAACCUUGGGCCCUGACGUUACCUACAGAAGAAGCACCGCUAACU
This 502-nucleotide ribosomal RNA is filed under the name uncultured bacterium. RNAcentral's name for it is "bacterial SSU rRNA". It matches the Rfam family "Bacterial small subunit ribosomal RNA", at positions 8 to 502 of the family's 1533-position model. The record is from RNAcentral.